This 463-nucleotide ribosomal RNA is filed under the name uncultured bacterium. RNAcentral's name for it is "partial 16S ribosomal RNA". It matches the Rfam family "Bacterial small subunit ribosomal RNA", at positions 28 to 507 of the family's 1533-position model. The record is from RNAcentral.
GAUGAACGCUGGCGGCGUGCUUAACACAUGCAAGUCGAACGGUGAACCUCUUCGGAGGGGAUCAGUGGCGAACGGGUGAGUAACACGUGGGCAACCUGCCCCCGGCUCUGGGAUAACUCCAAGAAAUUGGGGCUAAUACCGGAUGUUCACCGCUUCCCGCAUGGGUGGUGGUGGAAAGGGUUUCCGGCUGGGGAUGGGCCCGCGGCCUAUCAGCUUGUUGGUGGGGUAGUGGCCUACCAAGGCGACGACGGGUAGCCGGCCUGAGAGGGUGACCGGCCACCCUGGGACUGAGACACGGCCCAGACUCCUACGGGAGGCAGCAGUGGGGAAUAUUGCGCAAUGGGCGGAAGCCUGACGCAGCGACGCCGCGUGGGGGAUGACGGCCUUCGGGUUGUAAACCUCUUUCAGCAGGGACGAAGCGCAAGUGACGGUACCUGCAGAAGAAGCACCGGCCAACUACGUG